This 689-nucleotide ribosomal RNA is filed under the name Salmonella enterica. RNAcentral describes it as "partial 23S ribosomal RNA". It matches the Rfam family "Bacterial large subunit ribosomal RNA", at positions 580 to 1269 of the family's 2925-position model. RNAcentral also lists the same sequence under 1 other name. Lineage: Bacteria; Pseudomonadati; Pseudomonadota; Gammaproteobacteria; Enterobacterales; Enterobacteriaceae. The record is from RNAcentral.
CAGGUUUACCUGUGUGACUGCGUACCUUUUGUAUAAUGGGUCAGCGACUUAUAUUCUGUAGCAAGGUUAACCGUAUAGGGGAGCCGUAGGGAAACCGAGUCUUAACCGGGCGUUAAGUUGCAGGGUAUAGACCCGAAACCCGGUGAUCUAGCCAUGGGCAGGUUGAAGGUUGGGUAACACUAACUGGAGGACCGAACCGACUAAUGUUGAAAAAUUAGCGGAUGACCUGUGGCUGGGGGUGAAAGGCCAAUCAAACCGGGAGAUAGCUGGUUCUCCCCGAAAGCUAUUUAGGUAGCGCCUCGUGAAUUCAUCUCCGGGGGUAGAGCACUGUUUCGGCUAGGGGGCCAUCCCGGCUUACCAACCCGAUGCAAACUGCGAAUACCGGAGAAUGUUAUCACGGGAGACACACGGCGGGUGCUAACGUCCGUCGUGAAGAGGGAAACAACCCAGACCGCCAGCUAAGGUCCCAAAGUCAUGGUUAAGUGGGAAACGAUGUGGGAAGGCCCAGACAGCCAGGAUGUUGGCUUAGAAGCAGCCAUCAUUUAAAGAAAGCGUAAUAGCUCACUGGUCGAGUCGGCCUGCGCGGAAGAUGUAACGGGGCUAAACCAUGCACCGAAGCUGCGGCAGCGACACUAUGUGUUGUUGGGUAGGGGAGCGUUCUGUAAGCCUGUGAAGGUGUGUCGUGAGGC